Molecule: ribosomal RNA, 373 nt
Filed under: uncultured bacterium
Lineage: Bacteria
Description: bacterial SSU rRNA
Rfam family: Bacterial small subunit ribosomal RNA
Source: RNAcentral
GAGUUUGAUCGUGGCUCAGGAUGAACGCUAGCUACAGGCUUAACACAUGCAAGUCGAACGAAGCGCUUGAAUGGAAUUCUUCGGAAGGAAGCUCAAGCGACUGAGUGGCGGACGGGUGAGUAACGCGUGGGUAACCUGCCUCAUACAGGGGGAUAACAGUUAGAAAUGACUGCUAAUACCGCAUAAGCACACGUGAUCGCAUGAUCGAGCGUGAAAAACUCCGGUGGUAUGAGAUGGACCCGCGUCUGAUUAGCUAGUGUGGGUAAUGGCCCACAAGGCGACGAUCAGUAGCCGGCCUGAGAGGGUGAACGGCCACAUUGGGACUGAGACACGGCCCAAAACUCCUACGGGAGCAGCAGUGGGAAUAUUGCAC